AGCAGCCGCGGUAAUUCCAGCACCAAUAGCGUAUAUUAAUGCUGCUGCUGUUAAAAAGCUCGUAGUUGGAUACAGAGCCCAGGUUGUGUUGUGGCCCUUUGAUUAUCGAAUCAGCGUACCGCUGAGGAGGUAAGAUUUGGGAAUUCACCCAACACACCAAGACCUGUGCUCUAGGAACGGUGGUAAUGGUGCCCUGUGAGUAGGCCUCUUCAUUGAGACCGAAAGCGCUUACGUGUUAACCAUACGCAUACGGGUCGACCACCGAAGUUACUGUGAACAAAUCAGUGUGUCCAAAGCAGGCGUUCGCCUUGAAUGAUAAAGCAUGGAAUAACAAGGGAUCGAUUCUCUCGAGUCUUUUUGUUGGUUUUUAGCCCGAGAAGGAAUAAUUCAAGUUAUGGACUUAGUUCGGUUGCCUCGCGUAGCCGUUCGCGGACCAUGACCCAGCGGGAUCAAUAGGGACUGCCGGGGUCGUAUGUACUCCCACGUCAGAGGUGAAAUUCUUAGAUCGUGGGAAGACAAACUUCUGCGAAAGCAUUCGACAAGAAUGUCUUCAUUAAUCAAGAACGAGAGUGUGGGGAUCGAAGAUGAUCAGAUACCGUCGUAGUCCACUACUGUAAACGAUGCCGUCUCAGGAUCGAGAGGUGUUCAAUCAUGGCUCUCACGGCACUAACCCCUGAAACGAGAAAUCAAAGAUUAUGGGUUCAGGGGGGAGUACAUUCGCAAGGCUGAAACUUAAAGGAAUUGACGGAAUGACACCACCAGGCGUGGAGUAUGCGGCUUAAUUUGACUCAACACGGGGAAUUUUACUAGGUCAGGACAAUGCCAGGAUUGACAGAUUGAGAGCUCUUUCUCGAUCCAUUGUGUGGUGGUGCAUGGCCGCUCCUGGUUGGUGGAGUGAUUUGUCUGGUUGAUUCCGUUAACGAACGAGAUCUCGACCCUUAAAUAGGUAUGCUCGUCGACGUCGGCUAGAGGACACCCUCGGGUGUUACCUCUAGCCAAGACAGUGCAACUACUUCUUAAGGGGACUGCGUGCGCCGUUAGUACGCGGAAGAGCGAGCCAAUAGCAGGUCUGUGAUG
This 1077-nucleotide ribosomal RNA is filed under the name uncultured eukaryote. RNAcentral's name for it is "bacterial SSU rRNA". It matches the Rfam family "Eukaryotic small subunit ribosomal RNA", at positions 569 to 1469 of the family's 1831-position model. The record is from RNAcentral.